GAUGAACGCUAGCGGCAGGCUUAACACAUGCAAGUCGAACGGUAACAUUUCUUGCUUGCAAGAAGAUGACGAGUGGCGCACGGGUGCGUAACGCGUAUACAAUCUACCUUUAACAAAGGGAUAGCCCAUGGAAACGUGGAUUAAUACCUUAUAAUAUAUAUGAAUGGCAUCAUUUAUAUAUCAAAGAAUUUCGGUUAGAGAGGAGUAUGCGUGACAUUAGCUAGUUGGUGAGGUAACGGCCCACCAAGGCAACGAUGUCUAGGGGUUCUGAGAGGAUGAUCCCCCACACUGGUACUGAGACACGGACCAGACUCCUACGGGAGGCAGCAGUGAGGAAUAUUGCGCAAUGGAGGAAACUCUGACGCAGCCAUGCCGCGUGAAGGAAUGAAGGCCCUAUGGGUUGUAAACUUCUUUUAUAUGGGAAGAAA
This 428-nucleotide ribosomal RNA is filed under the name uncultured bacterium. RNAcentral's name for it is "bacterial SSU rRNA". It matches the Rfam family "Bacterial small subunit ribosomal RNA", at positions 28 to 450 of the family's 1533-position model. The record is from RNAcentral.